CUCAAUGGUGGGCUGGGUGAGAGCGCUUCGGCGCGCCGCACCUGUUGGCGGUAAGACCAAUCUCACUCAGCUCGCCACCAGU
RNAcentral lists this non-coding RNA (82 nucleotides) under Veronia pacifica. The record is from RNAcentral. Lineage: Bacteria; Pseudomonadati; Pseudomonadota; Gammaproteobacteria; Vibrionales; Vibrionaceae.